RNAcentral lists this ribosomal RNA (721 nucleotides) under uncultured Lactococcus sp. RNAcentral's name for it is "bacterial SSU rRNA". It matches the Rfam family "Bacterial small subunit ribosomal RNA", at positions 67 to 774 of the family's 1533-position model. The record is from RNAcentral. Lineage: Bacteria; Bacillati; Bacillota; Bacilli; Lactobacillales; Streptococcaceae.
UGAUUUCUGGUACUUGUAUCAGAAUGAAGAGUAGCGAACGGGUGAGUAACGCGUGGGUAACCUACCUCUUAGCGGGGGACAACUAUUGGAAACGAUAGCUAAUACCGCAUAACAAUAUUUAACACAUGUUAAGUAUUUGAAAGCACCAAUUGGUGCACUAAGAGAUGGACCCGCGUUGUAUUAGCUAGUUGGUAGUGUAAUGGACUACCAAGGCGAUGAUACAUAGCCGACCUGAGAGGGUGAUCGGCCACAUUGGGACUGAGACACGGCCCAAACUCCUACGGGAGGCAGCAGUAGGGAAUCUUCGGCAAUGGACGAAAGUCUGACCGAGCAACGCCGCGUGAGUGAAGAAGGUUUUCGGAUCGUAAAACUCUGUUGUUAGAGAAGAACGUCAGUGAGAGUGGAAAGUUCACUGAGUGACGGUAUCUAACCAGAAAGGGACGGCUAACUACGUGCCAGCAGCCGCGGUAAUACGUAGGUCCCGAGCGUUGUCCGGAUUUAUUGGGCGUAAAGCGAGCGCAGGUGGUUUAAUAAGUCUGAUGUAAAAGGCAGUGGCUCAACCAUUGUGUGCAUUGGAAACUGUUAGACUUGAGUGCAGUAGAGGAGAGUGGAAUUCCAUGUGUAGCGGUGAAAUGCGUAGAUAUAUGGAGGAACACCGGUGGCGAAAGCGGCUCUCUGGACUGUAACUGACACUGAGGCUCGAAAGCGUGGGUAGCAAACA